Molecule: transfer RNA, 74 nt
Filed under: Candidatus Jorgensenbacteria bacterium RIFCSPLOWO2_01_FULL_45_25b
Lineage: Bacteria; Candidatus Joergenseniibacteriota
Description: tRNA-Trp
Rfam family: tRNA
About the family: Transfer RNA (tRNA) molecules are approximately 80 nucleotides in length. Their secondary structure includes four short double-helical elements and three loops (D, anti-codon, and T loops). Further hydrogen bonds mediate the characteristic L-shaped molecular structure. tRNAs have two regions of fundamental functional importance: the anti-codon, which is responsible for specific mRNA codon recognition, and the 3' end, to which the tRNAs corresponding amino acid is attached (by aminoacyl-tRNA synthetases). tRNAs cope with the degeneracy of the genetic code in two manners: having more than one tRNA (with a specific anti-codon) for a particular amino acid; and 'wobble' base-pairing, i.e. permitting non-standard base-pairing at the 3rd anti-codon position.
Source: RNAcentral
GGGGGAUUAGUUAAGUGGUAUAACAACGGUCUCCAAAACCGUGAUCAGGGGUUCGAUUCCCUUAUCCCCCGCAA